This is a long non-coding RNA of Ictalurus punctatus (channel catfish), 1169 nucleotides long. NCBI's taxonomy places the organism in Eukaryota, Metazoa, Chordata, Actinopteri, Siluriformes, Ictaluridae. The record is from Ensembl.
CUAGCUUGUUGCUAACACUAUUUACUAAUGUCUGCUGACUAGCUUGUUGCUAACGCUACUUGCUAAUGUCUGCUGGCUAGCUUGUUGCUAACGCUAUUUGCUAAUUUCUGCUGGUUAGCUUGUUGCUAACGCUACUUACUAAUGUCUGCUGGCUAGCUUGUUGCUAACUCUACUUGCUAAUGUCUGCUGGCUAGCUUGUUGCUAACUCUACUUGCUAAUGUCUGCUGGCUAGCUUGUUGCUAACACGCCUCACACGGUUGUCCUCUGUUGCUGUACUGCAGUUUCUAAAAUGUUGCAUGAAUGUUUAAAGUUCACUGUUAGUAGAACAGUACCGGUAGUUAGGUAACUUUUUUUUCCUUUUCUUUCACAAAGCGUAAGAGUUCGUAGUGCAGGGGUGAAAAAGCUCAAUUUUUUUCAGAUUUGUCAUCAGUACAGUACGUCAGGAGUAGAGGUCUGUAGAUUCCUGUGGAUCUCAGAGGUCUGGCAGUGUGUUUCAAAUAGAUGACGUGGAUAUGAGGAUAUCAGAGCAAAACAGAAAUAUGACAAAGACAGAGGAUACCUGUCAAUAUAACAACAUUGACAGCGAUAUUGCAACAACAGCGAGAUGAUGAAAUUAUAUGAAACUAUAGGAGGCCGUUGUUUCUCUGCGCUAUGUGUUCUCUGAAACAAUCACUCCAAACAUUAUCCAACACUAUUUACUCACUGCAUGCCCACUUGUUCAUUUUCUAGAAAUUUCAGCUGAAGUAGCCUCUUAUUAUCUGAAGCACUAGUUGAACCUGUUUUCCUUUUCGAAACCUGUCGCUGUGCGUCCAUUUUAAAGCAAUAACUCAUCGAUGUGCAACGCCACUCGAUGGGCGAGCACUCACUCUGAUGGCUCCUCUCGCGAGCAAAACAGGUGCACGGCAGACGCGUGCAACAUUCGGCAGCACGGUUAUUCAGAUUCGCUGCGUGGCCCGGGUGGAAAAGUGCCGGAGUUUAAGUGUAGCUUUAUGUAUCAGUAUUUUACGCCGAUCUGAUUCGUCGGACGGCGUCGAAUCCUUUUCGAUAAGAGCAGCUCGGUAAAUAAUGCCAGCUCUAAGGCAAAUCGCAGAUCGAUAUCAACGUGAUAGUUUGAAUACAUUAUCGUUUCUAUAGUAACAGCUAACACAGGGACUUGUAUAACGGCUCUC